GGGGGCGACAUGGCUUCGACGUGGGUAGCGAAACCUUAAGUGCAUGUCGAGGACUGUACACCUCGUAAAUCCUACAGAAAAAAAGUAUUCGCAAAUGACGAAAACUACUCAAUGGCUCUAGCUGCUUAAACACAGCACCAUUCCUUUGACCAUCUGUGCUUAUGCGGGUGGAGUUCGGUUUACUGAACGCUCAGAGGUCAUCUACAUAAGAUCGCACUGAAGUCUGUCCGGUAUGGAUGUGCUAAAACCUUACGGAAUCGUUAAUAACACUCUUGGCUCGUCGGGUGGUUGUUAGCUAAAUUAAAGAACGAGAUAAACAUGUAGACCUUAUGGCGGAGUACUUGCGGACGGGGGUUCAAUUCCCCCCGCCUCCACCA
RNAcentral lists this transfer-messenger RNA (377 nucleotides) under Methylococcales. RNAcentral describes it as "KS41 sp003584865 Standard tmRNA". It matches the Rfam family "transfer-messenger RNA". Rfam says of the family: Bacterial tmRNA, also known as 10Sa RNA or SsrA, is named for its dual tRNA and mRNA-like properties. Its role is to liberate the mRNA from a stalled ribosome. The record is from RNAcentral. Lineage: Bacteria; Pseudomonadati; Pseudomonadota; Gammaproteobacteria. RNAcentral also lists the same sequence under 1 other name.